GCUGUGGAGGAACAGAUCCUGCAUCAGUGUUACAUCGCUAUGAAAAGAGCAGCCAGAAGGACAUCGGGUUCUUUUAGUGUUUAUGCAUCUUGACAUCAUACGAAGAAACGCUGGCGUUCAUACUGUUGAUCGAACAUGUCUCCGAAUCGAUUUCAGUGCAGAAAUGAAUACCACUGAAUGAAGAGAGGACAGUAACGACACCCGAACAAAAGCACGCGGGGUGUGUGAGGUUAUUCUGCAAACACUCGACGGACAGAUGCUGAAAUCCCUUAAUUUCCAGCGCAGCGCUGGCCUGCAUUAAAGCGCUUUCUUCUCCAACCAUCACAACAUGAUCUCUAUCUGUGGCGGGAGAGGAAAUCAGGCUAGCGUGCGGUGAAAGAGGAGCGCUCGUGAGCGCGUGAGGCCUGCGGACCGUCAUGAUUGAUCAGACGGAGGACGGUGGACACACAGCCGCAGCUCUGCGUUCUAGCGCUCUAAGCGAUGCAGACAGACAGAGCUGCGACUGUCAUCUUUAGGCUGUUCUUGACCACCAGCUCACAGCGUUCUGGCCUUAUCAGCAGCUGACAGGCCUCUAUUGUGGCCAGUGUCUGACUGCUAAGUUUAGGGGCCAAGCAGGGGCCAAGCAUCUUUAUCGGCCCUCUAUGGUCCUGCAUUUCACCCCAUCCUCAGGGGUGAUAAAGGACAAGAGAGCAAGCGUGAGGGGGGCCAAUGGUUUUGGCUUGACAGAUAAGCGCUGUCGGCCAUGGCCUCCACCUUCUCCAUUAGUCAGGCGGCCUCUACAGGGGCUGACCGGCCAUAAGUUUAGUGGACACUAACUGCCUCAUUAGUCAAGUCAUUAGCGACAGCAAACACCAAUUGCGGCCUAGAGAACAGUGGCAGGGCUAAUUAAAGGGCCAGCGCGUGACCUCCGCACACUGCCAGCUCUAGACAGCUGCGUGCCCGCGGUGCCUGCCAAAGCAGCAGGAGUUAACACACACGCACACACACACAACCGCAGAGCGACCCCUGGUUGCCAGGCAGUUAUCAGCUUUCAGGAAACAAGAACGGCCUUAAAUCGCGCCUUUGUUUGGUCAAACGCUUUGCGAGAAGAUGCAUCCAAACCUCUAAAAUCCUCUCGAGAAUUUACUUUCUGAAAAGUGAAAUCCUUCAGAGAUUAAAGACCUAAAGUGUGUGGACGUUGUCUCAUAAAAACAGGGUUUCCCAACUUUUUUAUGCACAUUAUUUAGGAAAGAAAUGAAUACUUUUACUCAGCAAGGAUGCAUUAAAUUGAUCAAAAGUGACAGUAAAAACAUUUAUAAUGUUACAAAAAAAAAUCUGUUUCAAAUAAAUGCUUUUCUUUUGAACCUUUUAUUCAUUAGGGAUUCUGGAAAAACAAUAUAUCAGGGUUUAAAAAAAAAUAUAUAUAUAUGAAACAGCAUAACUUCUCAGCAUUGAUAAUAUUAAGAAAUGUUACUUGAGUGGCAAAUCAACAUAUUAGAAUGAUUUCUAAAGAAUCAUGUGACACUGAAGACUGGAGUAAUGAUGCUGAAAAUUCAGCUUUGCAUCACAGAAAUAAAUUACAUUUUACAAUAUAUUCAAACAGAAAACAGUUAUUUUAAAUAGUAAAAAUAUUUUAAAUUUUUACGGAUUUUGCUGUACUUCGGAUCAAAAUGAUGUACUUCCUGUUCAAAAAGCUAUACAAAUGUGUGAAAUUGUACUAAUGUUUCACAAUAUUUUUAAUUUUACUGUAUUUUUGCUCAAAGAAAUGCAGCCUUGCUGAGCAUAAGAGACGAUUUUCAAAAAUCUUACUAAUCACAAACCUAAUGGAACAUUUGUUUGUAAAUGUGACCUUGGACCACAAAACCAGUAAUAAAUCAGUUUUUGUUUAUUUUUAAAUUUGAGAUUUAUUCAUCAAAGCUGAAUAAGUAAGCUUUCCAUUGAUGUAUUGUUUGUUAGGAGAGAAUAUUUGGCUGAGAUACAGCUAUUUGAAAAUCUGGAAUCUGAGGGUUCAAAAAAAUCGCCUUUAAAGUUGUCCAAAUGAAGUUCUUAGCAGUGCACACUACUAAUCAAAAAUUAAGUUUUGAUAUAUUUAUGGUAGAAAAUUUACAAAAUAUCUUCAUGGAAUAUGAUCUUUACUUGAUUUUUGGCAUUUUUUGGCAAUAAUUUUGACCCAUACAAUGUAUUUUUGGCUAUUGAUACAAAUAUGCCCACGCUACUUAAGACUGGUUUUGUGGCCCAGGGUCACAAAUGAGAUCUAGAUUUUAAAUAUUCUUGGUUCAAUAUCAUCUGGAGUUUCUACAAUAUAUAUAUAUAUAUAUAUAUUUAAAUGUGGCCCUCUUUUCUUGAAAUCUUUCCAAGUACCGUUUGGAACAAAUGCCUGGUUGGGAAUCACUGCUUAAAAAUAUUUUAACAGACUAUCAGA
Long non-coding RNA from Labeo rohita (rohu), 2401 nucleotides. RefSeq lists it as uncharacterized. The record is from RefSeq and is a predicted model, not a curated record. The transcript has 5 exons. NCBI's taxonomy places the organism in Eukaryota, Metazoa, Chordata, Actinopteri, Cypriniformes, Cyprinidae.